RNAcentral lists this ribosomal RNA (253 nucleotides) under uncultured bacterium. RNAcentral describes it as "partial 16S ribosomal RNA". It matches the Rfam family "Bacterial small subunit ribosomal RNA", at positions 524 to 776 of the family's 1533-position model. The record is from RNAcentral.
UACGGAGGGAGCUAGCGUUAUUCGGAAUUACUGGGCGUAAAGCGCACGUAGGCGGCUUUGUAAGUUAGAGGUGAAAGCCCAGAGCUCAACUCUGGAAUUGCCUUUAAGACUGCAUCGCUCGAAUCCAGGAGAGGUGAGUGGAAUUCCGAGUGUAGAGGUGAAAUUCGUAGAUAUUCGGAAGAACACCAGUGGCGAAGGCGGCUCACUGGACUGGUAUUGACGCUGAGGUGCGAAAGCGUGGGGAGCAAACAGG